This 471-nucleotide ribosomal RNA is filed under the name Nanorana liebigii (spiny-armed frog). RNAcentral describes it as "partial large subunit ribosomal RNA". It matches the Rfam family "Bacterial large subunit ribosomal RNA", at positions 1928 to 2563 of the family's 2925-position model. Lineage: Eukaryota; Metazoa; Chordata; Amphibia; Anura; Dicroglossidae. The record is from RNAcentral.
CGGCCGCGGUAUCCUGACCGUGCGAAGGUAGCAUAAUCAUUUGUUCUUUAAAUAGGGACUAGUAUCAACGGCAUCACGAGGGUUAUACUGUCUCCUCUCUCCAAUCAGUGAAACUGAUCUCCCCGUGAAGAAGCGGGGAUAAAUCUAUAAGACGAGAAGACCCCAUGGAGCUUUAAACUCAACAACAAUUUCCCUUAAGAUAUUCUACAUAAUUAUGGAAGUACUGUUUGUUAGUUUUGGGUUGGGGUGACCGCGGAGAAAAAUUAAACCUCCACGACGAAUGGAAUUAACUCCUAAUCUAAGAGCCACCGCUCUAAGAAUCAAUAAAUUGACAUAAUCUGAUCCGAUAAUCGAUCAACGGACCAAGUUACCCUGGGGAUAACAGCGCAAUCCAUUUCAAGAGCUCCUAUCGACAAAUGGGUUUACGACCUCGGAUGUUGGAUCAGGGUAAUCCCAAGUGAUGCAGCCGCU